UUGGUAAUAGCAGUCAUGUUUCAACAGGAUUAGUGGGAACAUAUGGUUACUGUGCCCCAGAAUAUGCAGUCACCGGCAACCUAACUCCGGAAUGUAAGGUCUACGGUUUGGGAGUGGUCCUUCUGGAACUCAUUUCGGGGCGUAAGGCCAUUGAUAAGAGUCGUUCCCCUGAAACGUGCCAUCUUGUUAAGUGGGCACAACCUAUUUUGAAGGACAUUAGUGAGUAUCAUAGAUUGGUGGAUCCUCUACUUCACGGGUCUUAUCCAGUGGAAUGGCUUAAUCAGGC
This 286-nucleotide small RNA is filed under the name Vigna angularis var. angularis. RNAcentral describes it as "Non-protein coding transcript". Lineage: Eukaryota; Viridiplantae; Streptophyta; Magnoliopsida; Fabales; Fabaceae. The record is from RNAcentral.